AAUAAAGAGAUAGACAGCUCAGGACACAGAUUUGUUGGGGCUUGUCCAUCGAUGCUGUUGCGGGGGCCUUACACAACCGGUUGCUUACCCCUUAAGUCGAUUUUCAUGUGAUCAAUAGAAGAGAUCAUGACUGGGUUCUAGGCUCUAGAAAACUAGUAAAAGAAAGAAAGAAAGAAAAAAACACAAUAACUCUCCAACCCAACUCCUUAGUGGACAGAAAGGCCUGAAAGAGACCUAUGCACUCAGGCAUGGAGACUUCUAUCCCCAGUAGAUUAGAAAAAAAAGAAAAGACUUCUUUGCUUUGCUGGCCACAGCCCUCUCACUGCAUCCUCCAAGUCAAGGCCAGAAGUGAUGGGGAGACGAAUGUCGUUGAGUGUGGCCUGAACUCCCGGACGUUGACUUCUUCAAGCCUGGCCACCAGAGCCAGGAGUUCUAGUUCUCCACAGUCUCCGAUGCUGCCAGUCAGCAAUGGCAGGACAUUCCACCUAAAACCAUGUCGAGGGUGGUUUCAACCUCAGGAUCACCCACAAUUUAAACACUGAAUACACCUGAGCUUCCCAUAUCCAAUUACUGAGGUCAAAAAAGUUGGGUGGGUUGAGGGAACUUGACAUGGAGCCAUGUCUAACCUGGCACCAUUCACAAAGCAAGUAGCAUUCCCAUUUAGUUUAUGUAUUUGAAGUCAUAUCUGGUGACUUCAUUUUCAAUAGAUGCACUUUUUAAUUUAUUGUCCAUGGCAGAUAUGUCUUGUUAUAGGUAUCUUGAAUUGUCCUCAAACAUAUCAAAACAGGUAACUUGUCCUUCCAAAGUCUCACCAAAGCACUUCACGUCAAUCUAAGUAACAUAAGUUUCCAGGAAGAAAUUAUAUAGCCUCUUAGUUUGGUUCACAGCCUGAUUUUUAUAGAUUCAUAGAAGCCUAAAUUUUCUCUCAUCUGCUAAACUUGACUGUUUUUCAAAACAGCCUUCAAAAAUGUAAAAUUUGCUCCUUAAAAAUGUGUCUUCUGGUAUAGUAGCUGCCACCCAUUAAAUGUCAGUGCCCCCACCCUUGAGACUGCUCAUCAGGAAAGGCCAUUGCAGGAUGGGCCCAUUAAAAUUUCCAAGUAGGAGAAUCAUACACAGUGUCAGUCACAAAAUAUUUGAACUCUUACCUUGUUGUCUGACACCAUUUUCUUGCUCUGGGAUUGUAGCAGAAUCACACUUGUUUUGGAGAUUACUAUGAUACCUCAGGCUUAGCUGACAGGAAUGGGACCCUGAGCACCAGAACUCACAGAUGAUUUUGGCCUGCAUUGUCAUGGGGGAAUGAUCUUCAAAACCAGGCACAGAGAAAUCAGACUGGGUGAUUGACAUGGGAGGAGGAGGAGGCUUAAUACAGAUUUACUUCUAUGUUGGAAACACACCUAGAGAAAAAGCCCACAAUGUUUGUGACUAUAUGUUUGCACCUCCACCUAGAGAUGAGUUCCUCAAGAUUAAGGACAGUGUUUCGCCUAUCUUUGUAUCCCCAGUAUCUAGCAUA
This is a long non-coding RNA of Myotis brandtii (Brandt's bat), 1510 nucleotides long. RefSeq lists it as uncharacterized. NCBI's taxonomy places the organism in Eukaryota, Metazoa, Chordata, Mammalia, Chiroptera, Vespertilionidae. The transcript is spliced from 4 exons. The record is from RefSeq and is a predicted model, not a curated record.